UACGUAGGAGGCGAGCGUUGUCCGGAGUUACUGGGCGUAAAGGGCGCGUAGGCGGCUCAUGAAGGCUGUGGUGAAAGUCCGGGGCUCAACCUCGGAUCGGCCGUGGCGACUCGUGGGCUGGAGCACUGUAGAGGCGGGUGGAAUUCCGGGUGUAGCGGUGGAAUGCGUAGAGAUCCGGAAGAACACCAGUGGCGAAGGCGCCCGCUGGGCAGUGGCUGACGCUGAGGCGCGACAGCGUGGGGAGCAAACAGG
Molecule: ribosomal RNA, 252 nt
Filed under: uncultured bacterium
Lineage: Bacteria
Description: partial 16S ribosomal RNA
Rfam family: Bacterial small subunit ribosomal RNA
Source: RNAcentral